Molecule: ribosomal RNA, 466 nt
Filed under: uncultured bacterium
Lineage: Bacteria
Description: partial 16S ribosomal RNA
Rfam family: Bacterial small subunit ribosomal RNA
Source: RNAcentral
GACGAACGCUGGCGGCGUGCUUAACACAUGCAAGUCGAACGGAAAGGCCCAGCUUGCUGGGUACUCGAGUGGCGAACGGGUGAGUAACACGUGGGUGAUCUGCCCUGGACUCUGGGAUAAGCCUGGGAAACUGGGUCUAAUACCGGAUAUGACCUUACAUCGCAUGGUGUUUGGUGGAAAGCUUUUGCGGUUCAGGAUGGGCCCGCGGCCUAUCAGCUUGUUGGUGGGGUAAUGGCCUACCAAGGCGACGACGGGUAGCCGACCUGAGAGGGUGAUCGGCCACACUGGGACUGAGACACGGCCCAGACUCCUAUGGGAGGCAGCAGUGGGGAAUAUUGCACAAUGGGCGCAAGCCUGAUGCAGCGACGCCGCGUGAGGGAUGACGGCCUUCGGGUUGUAAACCUCUUUCACCAGGGACGAAGCGUGAGUGACGGUACCUGGAGAAGAAGCACCGGCCAACUACGUG